UAAAUUAAUCAAUAUAUUUAUUUUUAGGUAAGAUAAACAUAAUAAUACAAUGUAUCGCUAGUCUGGAUGAUUUAGUUCUUUUCACCCUGUUGUCCUCCCGUCUCUUCCCCAAGGAUGGCUCCAUGAGCUGGGCAAACGCCUGGAGAUGCCCUACGUCAACAACACGGUCGGCGGCCCGUCGGUGCGCAGCUCGCACAUCGCCGCCCUCUACUUCACCCUCAGGAGCCUGACCAGCGUCGGCUUUGGCAACGUGUGCGCCAACACAGACGCCGAGAAGAUCUUCUCCAUCUGCACCAUGCUCAUCGGAGGUCCGCAUAGAGCUGGAGGGGGCGUGGCCUCCAGCUUCGGCUGAAAAUCGGGAGAUUUUCGGGAGAAUAUUUGUCCCGGGAGGUUUUCGGGAGAGGCGCUGAAUUUCGGGAGUCUCCCGGAAAAUUCGGGAGGGUUGGCAAGUAUGGUGAGCAGGACUGAGAUCGACAUUGAGUGAGCGAAGUUCUGUGCCUUGUUCAGACAGCGGCAGCACUUCCGUGUUAUUAGCGAUGUCAAUGAUUAUAAUAUUAUGUAUCCCCUACUAACGUUUUAUGUGAUUAACAACAUGAGUCCAAAUUCACAAGUUUUGUUGUUGAUGAUGCUAAGUAUCUACUAGGGCUGCAAAUCUUUGGGUGUCCCACGAUUCGAUUCAAUAUCGAUUCUUGGGGUCACGAUUCGAUUCAAAAUCGAUUUUUUUCGAUUCAACGCGAUUCUCGAUUCAAAAACGAUAUUUUCCCGAUUCAAAACGAUACUCUAUUCAUUCAAUACAUAGGAUUUCAGCAGGAUCUACCCGAGUCUGCUGACAUGCAAGCAGGGUAGUAGAUUUUUGUAAAAAGCUUUUAUAAUUGUAAAGGACAAUGUUUUAUCAACUGAUUGCAAUAAUGUAAAUUUGUUUUAACUAUUAAAUGAACCGAAUAUAUGACUUAUUUUAUCUUUGUGAAAAUAUUGGACACAGUGUGUUGUCAAGCUUAUGAGAUGCGAUGCAAGUGUAAGCCACUGUGACACUAUUGUUUUUUGUUUUUUUAUAUAAAUGUCUAAUGAUAAUGUCAAUGAGGGAUUUUUAAUCACUGCUAUGUUGAAAUUGUAACUAAUAUUGAUACUGUUGUUGAUAAUAUUCAUUUUUGUUUCACUACUUUUGGUUUGUUCUGUGUCGUGUUUGUGUCUCAUCUCAAUUGCUCUGUUUAUUGCAGUUCUGAGUGUUGCUGGGUCGGUUUUGAAAUUGGAUUGCAUUGUUAUGGUAUUGCUGUGUAUUGUUUUGUUGGAUUGAUUAAUGAAAAAAAAGAUAAA
Molecule: long non-coding RNA, 1314 nt
Organism: Entelurus aequoreus (snake pipefish)
Lineage: Eukaryota; Metazoa; Chordata; Actinopteri; Syngnathiformes; Syngnathidae
Exons: 2
Source: RefSeq, a predicted model, not a curated record